RNAcentral lists this ribosomal RNA (739 nucleotides) under Tubakia iowensis. RNAcentral describes it as "eukaryotic LSU rRNA". It matches the Rfam family "Eukaryotic large subunit ribosomal RNA", at positions 92 to 860 of the family's 3401-position model. Lineage: Eukaryota; Fungi; Ascomycota; Sordariomycetes; Diaporthales; Tubakiaceae. The record is from RNAcentral.
AGUGAAGCGGCAACAGCUCAAAUUUGAAAUCUGGCCUCGGCCCGAGUUGUAAUUUGCAGAGGAUGCUUUUGGUGCGGUGCCUUCCGAGUUCCCUGGAACGGGACGCCACAGAGGGUGAGAGCCCCGUAUGGUCGGACACCAAUCCUGUGUAAAGCUCCUUCGACGAGUCGAGUAGUUUGGGAAUGCUGCUCUAAAUGGGAGGUAAAUCUCUUCUAAAGCUAAAUACCGGCCAGAGACCGAUAGCGCACAAGUAGAGUGAUCGAAAGAUGAAAAGCACCUUGAAAAGGGGGUUAAACAGUACGUGAAAUUGUUGAAAGGGAAGCACUUGUGACCAGACUUGGGCCGGGCGGCUCAUCAGGGGUUCUCCCCUGUGCAUUCCGCCCGGUACAGGCCAGCAUCGGUUCUUACCGGGGGAUAAGAACGGCAGGAACGUGGCUCCCCCUCGGGGGAGUGUUAUAGCCUGCCGUACGAUACCCUGGCGGGGACCGAGGUUCGCGCUUCCGCAAGGAUGCUGGCGUAAUGGUUACUAGUGACCCGUCUUGAAACACGGACCAAGGAGUCGUCCAUUAGAGCGAGCGUUUGGGUGUAAAACCCGCACGCGUAAUGAAAGUGAAAUUAGGUGAGAGCUUCGGCGCAUCAUCGACCGAUCCUGAUGUUCUCGGAUGGAUUUGAGUAAGAGUUUUAACGGACGGACCCGAAAGACAGUGAACUAUGCUUGUAUAGGGUGAAGCCAGAGGAA